UGAGUACGAGCUGCUACGGCAGCGAAGUUGGUGAUGUCAAGCUUCCAAGAAAAGCUCUAUACCCGUUAAGGCAUAACUGCCAGUACCCGAAACCGACACAGGUGGGGUGGUAGAGAAUACCGAGGUGCGCGAGGCAACUCUCUCUAAGGAACUCGGCAAAAUGGCCCCGUAACUUCGGGAGAAGGGGUGCCACAGCAAUGUGGUCGCAGUGAAGAGGCCCUGGCGACUGUUUACCAAAAACACAGGUCUCCGCUAAGUCGCAAGACGAUGUAUGGGGGCUGACGCCUGCCCAGUGCCGGAAGGUUAAGGAAGCCGGUCAGCGUAAGCGAAGCUGGCGACUGAAGCCCCGGUGAACGGCGGCCGUAACGAUAACGGUCCUAAGGUAGCGAAAUUCCUUGUCGGGUAAGUUCCGACCCGCACGAAAGGCGUAACGAUCAGGGCGCUGUCUCGGAGAGAGGCUCGGCGAAAUAGAAUUGUCUGUGAAGAUGCGGACUACAUACACCCGGACAGAAAGACCCUAUGAAGCUUUACUGUAGCUUGGUAUUGUGCCCGGGCUCUGAAUGCGCAGGAUAGGUGGGAGACGUUGAUCUAGUGCUCGUGGGUACUAGGGAGUCAAUGGUGAGAUACCACUCUUUCAGAGCUAGGGUUCUAACGUUCACCCGUUAUCCGGGGAGCGGACAGUAUCAGGUGGGCAGUUUGACUGGGGCGGUCGCCUCCUAAAAGGUAACGGAGGCGCGCAAAGGUUUCCUCAGGCUGGUUGGAAAUCAGCCGACGAGUGCAAAAGCAGAAGGAAGCUUGACUGUGAGACCUACAAGUCGAACAGGGACGAAAGUCGGCUUUAGUGAUCCGACGGUUCUGAGUGGAAGGGCCGUCGCUCAACGGAUAAAAGUUACUCUAAGGAUAACAGGCUGAUCUCCCCCAAGAGUUCACAUCGACGGGGAGGUUUGGCACCUCGAUGUCGGCUCAUCGCAACCUGGGGCUGAAGUCGGUCCCAAGGGUUGGGCUGUUCGCCCAUUAAAGCGGUACGCGAGCUGGGUUCAGAACGUCGUGAGACAGUUCGGUCCAUAUCCGGUGUAUGCGUAGGAAUAUUGAGAGGAUUUCUCCCUAGUACGAGAGGACCGGGAGGAACGCACCUCUGGUGUACCAGUUAUCGUGCCAACGGUAAACGCUGGGUAGCCAUGUGCGGAGUGGAUAACCGCUGAAAGCAUCUAAGUGGGAAGCCCACCUCAAGAUGAGUAUUCCCAUGGGGUAACCAGUAAGGUCACGGGAAGAACACCCGUUGAUAGGCUCUACGUCGAAGUUCAGUAAUGGAUGCAGCGGAGGAGUACUAAUAGACC
This 1337-nucleotide ribosomal RNA is filed under the name metagenome. RNAcentral's name for it is "bacterial LSU rRNA". It matches the Rfam family "Bacterial large subunit ribosomal RNA", at positions 1564 to 2910 of the family's 2925-position model. The record is from RNAcentral.